GGGCAGGUUCCAGAGUGGUCAAAUGGGGCGGGCUGUAAACCCGCUGCCGCAAGGCUUCGGAGGUUCGAAUCCUUCCCUGCCCA
Molecule: transfer RNA, 83 nt
Filed under: Pseudomonadota bacterium
Lineage: Bacteria; Pseudomonadati; Pseudomonadota
Also listed under: 1 other name
Description: tRNA-Tyr
Rfam family: tRNA
About the family: Transfer RNA (tRNA) molecules are approximately 80 nucleotides in length. Their secondary structure includes four short double-helical elements and three loops (D, anti-codon, and T loops).
Source: RNAcentral